Molecule: unclassified non-coding RNA, 806 nt
Filed under: Hevea brasiliensis (rubber tree)
Lineage: Eukaryota; Viridiplantae; Streptophyta; Magnoliopsida; Malpighiales; Euphorbiaceae
Source: RNAcentral
AAUUUGAGAUCGAGCUUAUCGAACCCGAACCGAGCUUGACCUUAUCUAGCUUGUGUUCGAGCUCGUUUUAAUGAAUUUAUUGAGCUUGACAAAAGUUCGAGUUUGACUCAUUAAUAUAAUAAACGAACUUUAUUAUAGCUGAACUCGAGCCUUAAUGUUAACGCUCGAACCGAGCUCGAGCUUGAACUCAAGCUCAAGCCUGGAUCAAUAUUAACGAACCAAACUUGAACAAGCCAAAACUCGGCUCGGCUCGGUUUAUUUACACCCCUAUGUCUGGUAUUAGUUUAGUGUUGUGUAGGCAAUUUAAGUACCUUAAAUUAUCCGCUUCUCUUGGUAUUAGGAUUUAAUUGUUUUUAUAGCAGGAAGCUUGAAGUAAAGUGUUUAUGAUACCAAUUGCUUGGCUCAUGUAUUGAAUGGAUUAGUUUUGUAUAUGACUUAUCUAUUGAAUGGAUUAACUUUGUGUAGGAUUAGUGUUUACAAAUACCAAGCAUAGUUUUUUAAAAAACAGGUUAGUCUUGAUACUGUUAUUGUAGGGUGUUUACAGAUGCCAAUAAUAGUUUCUAGAAACAGGUGAGUCUUAUUCUGUUAUUGUGGACAUUGUAGCUUGGAAAGUAGCCAGUUACUUCCUAAUUAGAGUAUAUUACUUAGUCAUUCUGUUAUUUAAACUAUCUCUGAGUAAAUUUAAAUCAUUUUUUAACAGCUUGGUAGGAUGUCAUUGUUUUCAUUUGGUGUUUGUACCCAUCUAAAAUUACAUUGAACUGUGAUGUCCUGCCCUCAAUUUAGGUUUAGAAAUAGGUGGUGAGAUG